GCUUUAUAAACUUAUAAAUUUUAUAUGUUUUUUUAUAAAAAUAAUCUUUCGAAGGUUUAUUUAGUUGGGGCGACAAUGAUAUAAAUAAUAUAACUGUCAUAAAAUAUAACAAAUAUAUUUGUUUAAUAAGGAAUAAUUGAUCCUUUAUAAGGAUUUUAAGAUCAAGUU
Molecule: ribosomal RNA, 168 nt
Filed under: Charybdis natator
Lineage: Eukaryota; Metazoa; Arthropoda; Malacostraca; Decapoda; Portunidae
Description: partial 16S rRNA
Source: RNAcentral